RNAcentral lists this ribosomal RNA (207 nucleotides) under uncultured bacterium. Its description in RNAcentral is "partial 16S ribosomal RNA". It matches the Rfam family "Bacterial small subunit ribosomal RNA", at positions 568 to 774 of the family's 1533-position model. The record is from RNAcentral.
UGUGUAGGCGGUGCUCUAAGUUCGGUGUGAAAUCUCCCGGCUUAACUGGGAGGGUGCGCCGGAAACUGGAGUGCUCGAGCGUGGGAGAGGAAAGCGGAAUUCCUGGUGUAGCGGUGAAAUGCGUAGAUAUCAGGAGGAACACCUGCGGUGUAGACGGCUUUCUGGACCAUAACUGACGCUGAGAUACGAAAGCGUGGGUAGCAAACA